AGAUUGAACGCUGGCGGCAGGCCUAACACAUGCAAGUCGAGCGGCAGCACGGGUACUUGUACCUGGUGGCGAGCGGCGGACGGGUGAGUAAUGCCUAGGAAUCUGCCUGGUAGUGGGGGAUAACGCUCGGAAACGGACGCUAAUACCGCAUACGUCCUACGGGAGAAAGCAGGGGACCUUCGGGCCUUGCGCUAUCAGAUGAGCCUAGGUCGGAUUAGCUAGUUGGUGAGGUAAUGGCUCACCAAGGCGACGAUCCGUAACUGGUCUGAGAGGAUGAUCAGUCACACUGGAACUGAGACACGGUCCAGACUCCUACGGGAGGCAGCAGUGGGGAAUAUUGGACAAUGGGCGAAAGCCUGAUCCAGCCAUGCCGCGUGUGUGAAGAAGGUCUUCGGAUUGUAAAGCACUUUAAGUUGGAGAAGGCAGUUACCUAAUACGUAAUCUGUUUUGACGUUACCGACAGAAUAAGCACCGGCUAACUCUGUG
Molecule: ribosomal RNA, 486 nt
Filed under: uncultured soil bacterium
Lineage: Bacteria
Description: bacterial SSU rRNA
Rfam family: Bacterial small subunit ribosomal RNA
Source: RNAcentral